This is a long non-coding RNA of Neofelis nebulosa (Clouded leopard), 1070 nucleotides long. RefSeq lists it as uncharacterized. The transcript has 2 exons. Lineage: Eukaryota; Metazoa; Chordata; Mammalia; Carnivora; Felidae. The record is from RefSeq and is a predicted model, not a curated record.
UCCACCAGUCUCCCUCGUGUACAUCCUGCCGCUGUGGCUGAUUCCAACCUGUUAACAUGAUGCCCCUCCACGCGGAGCUGAACAGAGACCGGCUCUCAGGGACUGGCUCGUUUUGCUUCCAGCACGCGAACCCGAGUCGUGAGUAAAUUCGCGAGUAGUCCGUCCUUGGCGCCUGGAAGACACUUGCGCACGCCUGGUGACCCAGUGUGUGAUGGGAGAGCUGCUCAGGCCAGAGGGUCAGACUGAAAGAAGAACUUCCUGCCAAGUGCCUAGGGAGACGCUGAGCCCAAGAAGUGGGGGGUCAGAGCCCCCUCUGGACUCCUCUCCAGACACCAGAACUUUCUGCCGCUGCAGACUUUUCAAGAGUAACCGCUUCACCUGCCGGGGGCUCUCAGACGUGGAACAGAAGCCACUGGAUGGACAAAUCACCCCGUGCUGCCCAGGUCAUGAGGACAGACCCUAACCCAGUAUGACUGGGGUCCUUAUCAGAGGAGGUUAGGACACAGACUCGCACAGAGGGACGAUCGUGUGAGGACACAGGGAGGAGACAGCAUCUAUGCCCCCACGAGAGACGCCUCGGAAGGAACCAGACCAACUUGCCCACGGCUGGAUCUCAGACUCCCAGCCUCCAGAGCCGUGAGACAACACGUGUCCGGUGUGUUAGCCGCCCUGCGUGUGGUCCUUUGUCGCGGCAGUCCUAGGAGGCUAACACAGCCGCCAGAGGCCACGUGGGGUCCUGGAUUCAAUCCUGGAACGGGAAAAGGACACCUGUGGAAAAACGUGAAACGCAAACGAAGCCUUUUGUUUCGCUAAUGGUAUUGCACCAAUGUUCCUUUCCUCUUUUUGACAAGUGACAGUAAUUUAAGAUGUUAACAGGAGAGGAAGCUGAGUUAAGUGUAUACGGAACUUCCUGCGCUAUCUUUGCAAUUAAUCUGUAAAUCCAAAUGGUUGCACAACAGCGUGAAUGUGAUUGAUGCUGCUGAGCUGUGUGCUUAAAAAUGAUUAAGAUGAAAAAUUCUAUGUCGUAUGUGUGUCUUUUACCACAAUAAAACAACUCUGUCAAAAAUCUA